This is a long non-coding RNA of Sebastes umbrosus (honeycomb rockfish), 1693 nucleotides long. RefSeq lists it as uncharacterized. Lineage: Eukaryota; Metazoa; Chordata; Actinopteri; Perciformes; Sebastidae. The record is from RefSeq and is a predicted model, not a curated record. The transcript is spliced from 3 exons.
GGAGGCGCUCAGUCAGUCGGUCGGUGGAGAGUUGUUGGUCAUCGACGGAAGUGAUGAGAGUGAAAAAUACGCGCUGCUGUGGCACACUUGGAAGACAUCAGUCGACAGGACGCGUGAAUCCCUGCUGGAAAAAAUGUUGUUUUCUGCUUGAGACUCCAUGAAGAUCAUCUCCAUCAGAUUCUGUUAUGGCCAAUUUGUGAAGUGAAGGUGAAAGAAGUUCCUCCUAUUAAUGAGGUGAUGGUGACGCAAUAAAGCAGUUAAUGUUCCAGCUUAAACACACACCAUGAUAACAUGUAUAACAUAACCAGAAGCAUGUUUUGCCCCGUGGACAGACAGUGGACUCAUUCUGCCGCUGUCCUGCGUCAUUACGUCCCUCUGCUGUGCGACCUGACCUCUGGGGUUUGACUGACGUCCUCGGCUCUGUCCCUGUCCCCUCUCUGUAUCCCUCCCCUCCUCCUCUACGCCCUGCCUCGUCUUGUCAGCUCGGCUCACGCUCACAGUCCUGCUUGCCUCGGCGAACAUUCAACGCUGUCGGUGAGUUUUGGUAUGGAUCACAUAAAAACCAUCGACCGUUGACUGUGCCCCGAGGCUUUGCUCUGACGACGACGGCCGGAAUGAGCACAAAAAAAAUGAACAAAAGGGCAAGUGGGCGCAUGCAGAAUCUAGAAACGAAGACACGCACACACAUGCACAAAAGUGACACUCUGUUUCCACUGUACCCAAAGACCAAAGGUCACAAUCAACAUUCAUUGCUGUCGCUGGGUUGGACUGUGUAGAAAAGCUCACUGAACAAUGAGUGCAACUGUGGCCCAGAUCUGCCUGACUCGCGUCUCAGCCAAUCAGCCGACCGGAUGUGAAACACUCUGAUUUCUUUAUUUAUAUUCUACUUGUUUUUCACUUCUAUUUUCUUCCUCCCUCCCCGGCGCUGCAUAGUCUUCAGGGGAAGAGAGAGAGAGAGAGAGAGGGAGACACAAAUAGACUUCUGGCGGCUCUUGCUUGUCCUCAUCCUCCUCUCCUCUCCUCUAAUUGGUGGUUAUGUGUGCAGCAAGGGGGAAGGAAGCGGAGUGAAUGUGUAAUCAUUUGGAGUCUCUUCUCCUUUAGAUGUUUCAUCCCUCUCUUUUUUGUUUGUCUAAUUAUACACCGGGCUCGGUUAACUCUGUGUUAGCUGCGCCGGCGAGAACGAGCGGGUGACAAAGAGAGGGAGGACGAGGGGGCAGCAAAAGAGGUGGAGAGAUUAUAGCACCGGUAAAAUUAUCUAGUUUUCCCACUAUAUUUAUUCUAAUAUUCUUCCUGGUGUUGCUGCAAAAGCGUUGGGAUAUAAAGCAAUUUGCAAAUGCAGAGAGAAGAUUGUUUUUCACCUCUCUGAUUGAGGACGUCUCAUUAUCUGUGUUUGAGCUUCAUGAGAGACUGUCUGGUUUCCUGCCUGCCUCUGUGUGUGUGUCUGUGUGUGCACGUAUGCCAUGAUAGAAGACCUGUCUGCUGAUCUCAGAGUGCAAUAUGUUAUUUUCUUUCUAUACCAAACAGCCCGCUCCCUCAUGGGAAAACACAAGUCUAUAACCUUGUCUUCCUUCAGACAGUCUGGGACCGGCCAUGCAUCUCUUGUAUCAUGUAGUGUAAACACACAGUUGAUAUAUAUAUUUAUGUAGGAAUGUGUUUCAUUCAUUCAUUCAAUAAAGCUAAACCAGAAUCCAUG